Molecule: ribosomal RNA, 545 nt
Filed under: uncultured bacterium
Lineage: Bacteria
Description: bacterial SSU rRNA
Rfam family: Bacterial small subunit ribosomal RNA
Source: RNAcentral
AAUAGAUACCCUGGUAGUCCACCCCGUAAACGUUGGGAACUAGUUGUGGGGACCAUUCCACGGUUUCCGUGACGCAGCUAACGCAUUAAGUUCCCCGCCUGGGGAGUACGGCCGCAAGGCUAAAACUCAAAGGAAUUGACGGGGACCCGCACAAGCGGCGGAGCAUGCGGAUUAAUUCGAUGCAACGCGAAGAACCUUACCAAGGCUUGACAUAUACGAGAACGGGCCAGAAAUGGUCAACUCUUUGGACACUCGUAAACAGGUGGUGCAUGGUUGUCGUCAGCUCGUGUCGUGAGAUGUUGGGUUAAGUCCCGCAACGAGCGCAACCCUCGUUCUAUGUUGCCAGCACGUAAUGGCGGGAACUCAUGGGAUACUGCCGGGGUCAACUCGGAGGAAGGUGGGGAUGACGUCAAAUCAUCAUGCCCCUUAUGUCUUGGGCUUCACGCAUGCUACAAUGGCCGGUACAAAGGGCUGCAAUACCGUAAGGUGGAGCGAAUCCCAAAAAGCCGGUCCCAGUUCGGAUUGAGGUCUGCAACUCGACCUCA